This is a long non-coding RNA of Selaginella moellendorffii, 372 nucleotides long. RefSeq lists it as uncharacterized. The record is from RefSeq and is a predicted model, not a curated record. The transcript is spliced from 2 exons. Lineage: Eukaryota; Viridiplantae; Streptophyta; Lycopodiopsida; Selaginellales; Selaginellaceae.
UGGUGUUUCUUGCCAGGAGGGAUUAAAAACAGCCCAUGUGAUGUUGCUGUGUGUGUUUGCUGGUUAUCAAAGAUUUUUGUUUUUCUUGGAGGUGUGAUUUGCUUGCCUUGCUUGCCUGCUGUAUUUUAAUCCCUGCUGGUCUCUUUUUUCUUUUGCUACAACAGCUCUCAGGUCUCUUUGGGUCUCCAAAUAUGAGGUCUCUGUCAGCCAACAGGAGCAAACAAUACAGACAAACUUAUCUGGAAGAACAACUUGGGGAUGAACGCUAAGUUUAGAGUAAUUGCCAGGCUUAAACCUCAGGCUUCCAGAAGGAACCGCACACAUAAUGUCAAUCAUCAAACGAUUUGUAUGUACGUUUCUUCUUCUCUUUUC